Molecule: long non-coding RNA, 1920 nt
Organism: Numida meleagris (helmeted guineafowl)
Lineage: Eukaryota; Metazoa; Chordata; Aves; Galliformes; Numididae
Source: Ensembl
CUGGUGGGUCUGCUAGUACAUGUGUUUCUUUCACUUUGCUUGAUUUAAAGAGUUUGAGGGUAGUGAUAGUGUGAACUGACCACUCUCUAUGCUUUGUAUUGAAAUCCUCCAACAUGCUAUCUGCAGUACAUCAUCUGUUGCCAAGAUCUACCUCCUCAACAAAUAAACAAACAAACAAACAUAAAAACACAUGACUGCAAUUAUUCAUUGUGGGACUUUGGAGAAGACUUCCAAAGAUCUUGCAUCCAGGCUCUGAAAGCUCUCUCUGGUACAUGUGAAUCCCUGGUUAAAAGAAAACUGGAGCAUGUUGGAAAACCUUCUUGUGUUAAAGUCUUCACAGGUUUCAAGGCAUGAUCUCCGUCUUCGUGCAAGUUCUGAACAUGUUAUCAUUCUGCAGAUAUCCAUCACUGUCCCUCAUGCCCUUGCCUAACCGGGCAGUGAGUGCCAUGGCUUGCUCACCUUGCAGGUACUGAGAGCACCUGGGACUGUCAGUCCCGUUUUCAAGCUGAAAACACACUGCUGCCAGCACUGGAACGGAUAUGACAACAAUGAUAUCUUCUUUUCUUCCCUAGGACUAUGACCUUUGCAACUGUGGUUUUCAGGGCUCUUUUAGUAUGAACUGAAUGUAAAGACAGACUUUUCCAGUGGCCUGAUGGCUCCUACAGGAUCUACGUAUUCUCUGAUGCUAGAACAAAGCUCUUGCUGAGGCUUACUGAACAGCUGGUGACAGCAAAUAUCUACGAAGGAGGAUGGCAGGAGCAUUGGAAAAUGCAGCCCAGAGACACGAAUAAGUGUGCUUGGCAAUAUUCAAGGCACUGCUCUGUACCUCAAGAGAGAAGUCAGACAUUACCAACAGCAAUUCCUUGGGCAUCACCCCGCCAAAUACCCUGGGCCAGGAGAUCCUGGGGACCACCGUGGAGAGGGUUCCUUUCUUCAGCAGCUCCUCCAGGAACCCAUCCCUGCCCAUAGAGCAUGUGGGCUGCAUUGUGGAGAAACGAAGUGGCAGAGGAUGGUGAUCUCAGCCCAGAACCAAAGCAUUCAUCCAGGAACCAGUGUUUAUUUUCUUAGUUUCAUUCUGCUUUACACGGCUGAUCACUCUUCACUAUUUGCACUGGUACAUCUGACCUCGAGCUCUGUUGCCUUCAGUAUCCUGUCCUUUCUCUCUGCUUCAUUGGCCACACAUUCCUGGGAGAAAUAGCACAGUGCCAGUGCCUUUGCGCAGCACCAGAGGCACACGGGGAUGCUGCAUUCCCAGCAUAAGAUAAGCUACUUGUUGAAGGACAUGUGCUUCAAGUCCUUCCAUGGUGCAUACUUUGCACACAUCUGCUUCCUGGCUGGUCCAGCAGUGCUCUGUGCAGGCUAGAGUAAGGCUCUGUGCCUCAGUUUCCUCAACCAGCAAGAGCAUUUCAGCAAGGUUAUUGGUGUGAUUCAUGGGGGCGCACACUCUCUUGGUGGAAGUGGGACCAGAGGUUUGGUGAAGAGUACUCCUGGGCCUAAGCAUUGUUGCUCAGAUAAGAAAUUGAUUUUGUUGUCAGUAAUUCCUCUUCUAUAUUUCUUGCCCAUGAUCUCACAGCUUCCUCGAAUUUCUUAGGGAAAGUAAUAGAAAAAAAAAAAGACACUUUUGGCAGCAAAUGUAAAAAGCUCCCCUUUUACAGACUAUUGGCAAUGGAACUUCGCACCCUUUCACUCAGAAAUGGACCAAGGAUUCCUUGCCUCAUUUUCUACUGUCUCAAAAUCCAGGUUGGUUUGUUGAAAUGAGAAGUAAACAUAAUGACUUUAAUGGGAUGAUCUUGCAGGGCUGUUGGCUGACUGAGGCCACCCAGCUAGAGUUCAGUGUAAGACAGCCUGUACCUUAUAAGGCCAAGAGAUGAAGGCAUUUAAAACAGAAAAAUAAAGGAUCUGAACAUGUUAUUUAAAUCA